AAAAAAGGGAGGAAAAGAAUAAAGAAUAGGGCUUUUUUUGCUAUUUGAGUGUUAGGACUCCUCUCGAAAUUACAUUUUUAAUAAUGUUUAAUUUGAGCUGUUGGAUAAAUAUUUUUAUUGUCGGAUACUGGAUGCUGAAGUUAGCAAUUUCAAUUGCAAUUUAGUGUUACAAGUACUAUCUAUAUUCAUGUAUAUCAGGUAUGUGUUCAAUUUGAAAAAGUGUGCACCUCACUUUUCGCUCCCAUUGGAAUUGCUGCUAUUUUUGCGUCCUUUGCUUUUGAAGACACUGUUCUUCACUAGAAGAUGAUUGAUAUUGGUAUUUUACCUUCCUUCUGUGUAGAUAUGCCAAUCGAAGCUUAAGCCACUUUAUCUAGUUUCCCUUCUUCAAAGUCUGCAAGGGGAGAAAUCAAUUGUUUUCACAUCAUCUGUGGAGUCCACUCAUAGAUUAUGCACCUUGCUUAAGUUUUUCGACAAUUUGCAAAUUGAGUUCAAGGAGUACUCUCGUCUUCAACGUCAAUCUUUAAGAAGCAAGACGUUGAGCGCCUUCAGGGCAGGACAAGUGCAAGUGCUUAUUUCUUCUGAUGCUAUGACUCGUGGAAUGGAUGUUGAAGGAGUUAGAAAUGUCGUUAACUAUGACAUGCCUGCGUAUAUAAAAACAUUUAUUCAUCGGGUGGGUCGAACUGCAAGAGCAGGCCAAAGUGGGUGUUGCUUUACUUUAUUACGCAAAGACGAGGUUAAGCGGUUCAAGAAGCUGUUACAAAAAGCUGACUGUGACUCUUGCCCCACCUAUUCUGUUUCUUCUGAAGUUAUAGAGUCACUCAACUCUGUGUAUACCUCAGCUUUGGAGAAACUUAGAGAGAAUGUUGAAUCGGAAAAGUUUAAGAAGAGCAAGAUUAGAUUGAAGUCUUCAAAUGUCAGAAAGGAGAAGUGAAAAGCUGCCGCGGGGAUAACUUCCAUUUUCUUAACCAGUGUAGUACUGAAUUGCCAACCAAAUUAUGAUUACACCAUAGUUCAACUCGAGCUGCUCUGGCUUUUACUAUGGUCACUGAGUUAAUGCAUAAGCUGGUAAUUUAUGAAGCAAGCAGAUUCCAUUUUUGUUCAAUGGAAAAGGAAGCUAAGAAUGUCGAUCGAUUACAUGUGAACAGUCCUUAUUUAUGUGGAAAUACUGCUACUGCACUGAGCAACAGCUAUGGAAGUGGCUGUAAAGAUGAGAGGGUGUCUCCAGCGAGUCAAAAGGAUGAUACCAGGAGGAGGAACAAGGACAAGGGGGUUAUGGUGCUGAUAUCUCAUGAAUCAGACCACAGUACCAAUGAAAGAGGAAAAAUAGGGGAAAAGGAAUGAGGAGCAGAAGAAGGAUGAAUUCCUGAUAGCAAGGAAACAGAGGACGUAGGAGAGCCUCAAAUGGGGUAAGCAAACAAUUUUCUCAAGAUCAUGGAAACUGGAAACUAAAAAUGUCAUUAGAACUAGACUCGCAAAAGAGAACAAGGAGUAUCUGAAGAUUGAGGUUGGAGGGCCAACUCACUCACACGUGAAGAAUUAAGCUUCAUUAGACAAUGGACGCUUUUCAUUCUGUUUUUUUUUACUUUUUGUUUGAAAAAACACAGAAAGAAUGGGUUGUGAGAGAAUUUUGGGAAUUGUAUAUUCAAUGAUGUACUAAUUCU
This is an RNA transcript of Nicotiana attenuata, 1661 nucleotides long. It is a transcript of the gene named DEAD-box ATP-dependent RNA helicase 1-like, with no coding region annotated. NCBI's taxonomy places the organism in Eukaryota, Viridiplantae, Streptophyta, Magnoliopsida, Solanales, Solanaceae. The record is from RefSeq and is a predicted model, not a curated record. The transcript is spliced from 5 exons.